This is an RNA transcript of Homo sapiens (human), 4680 nucleotides long. It is a transcript of the gene named glycerol kinase, with no coding region annotated. NCBI's taxonomy places the organism in Eukaryota, Metazoa, Chordata, Mammalia, Primates, Hominidae. The transcript has 22 exons. The record is from RefSeq and is marked reviewed.
GCGUUCAGCGGACGCGCGCGGCCUCGAUCUCUGGACUCGUCACCUGCCCCUCCCCCUCCCGCCGCCGUCACCCAGGAAACCGGCCGCAAUCGCCGGCCGACCUGAAGCUGGUUUCAUGGCAGCCUCAAAGAAGGCAGUUUUGGGGCCAUUGGUGGGGGCGGUGGACCAGGGCACCAGUUCGACGCGCUUUUUGGUUUUCAAUUCAAAAACAGCUGAACUACUUAGUCAUCAUCAAGUAGAAAUAAAACAAGAGUUCCCAAGAGAAGGAUGGGUGGAACAGGACCCUAAGGAAAUUCUACAUUCUGUCUAUGAGUGUAUAGAGAAAACAUGUGAGAAACUUGGACAGCUCAAUAUUGAUAUUUCCAACAUAAAAGAUAACCCUACCUCCUGCUUCAUGGAGAAAGUUGAGGGUCUGCGGCCUUAAAUCCUCACCUUCCUGUUGCUGUGCUUAAUAUCUGGAUCUCCUGCCAACUUUCCUUCAUCACAAGGGCAGCAAUAGCCUUCUGCCCCACUUGGAGCUCCUCCCUCCACUUGUGCUGCUAUUGGUGUCAGCAACCAGAGGGAAACCACUGUAGUCUGGGACAAGAUAACUGGAGAGCCUCUCUACAAUGCUGUGGUGUGGCUUGAUCUAAGAACCCAGUCUACCGUUGAGAGUCUUAGUAAAAGAAUUCCAGGAAAUAAUAACUUUGUCAAGUCCAAGACAGGCCUUCCACUUAGCACUUACUUCAGUGCAGUGAAACUUCGUUGGCUCCUUGACAAUGUGAGAAAAGUUCAAAAGGCCGUUGAAGAAAAACGAGCUCUUUUUGGGACUAUUGAUUCAUGGCUUAUUUGGAGUUUGACAGGAGGAGUCAAUGGAGGUGUCCACUGUACAGAUGUAACAAAUGCAAGUAGGACUAUGCUUUUCAACAUUCAUUCUUUGGAAUGGGAUAAACAACUCUGCGAAUUUUUUGGAAUUCCAAUGGAAAUUCUUCCAAAUGUCCGGAGUUCUUCUGAGAUCUAUGGCCUAAUGAAAAUCUCUCAUAGCGUGAAAGCUGGGGCCUUGGAAGGUGUGCCAAUAUCUGGGUGUUUAGGGGACCAGUCUGCUGCAUUGGUGGGACAAAUGUGCUUCCAGAUUGGACAAGCCAAAAAUACGUAUGGAACAGGAUGUUUCUUACUAUGUAAUACAGGCCAUAAGUGUGUAUUUUCUGAUCAUGGCCUUCUCACCACAGUGGCUUACAAACUUGGCAGAGACAAACCAGUAUAUUAUGCUUUGGAAGGUUCUGUAGCUAUAGCUGGUGCUGUUAUUCGCUGGCUAAGAGACAAUCUUGGAAUUAUAAAGACCUCAGAAGAAAUUGAAAAACUUGCUAAAGAAGUAGGUACUUCUUAUGGCUGCUACUUCGUCCCAGCAUUUUCGGGGUUAUAUGCACCUUAUUGGGAGCCCAGCGCAAGAGGGAUAAUCUGUGGACUCACUCAGUUCACCAAUAAAUGCCAUAUUGCUUUUGCUGCAUUAGAAGCUGUUUGUUUCCAAACUCGAGAGAUUUUGGAUGCCAUGAAUCGAGACUGUGGAAUUCCACUCAGUCAUUUGCAGGUAGAUGGAGGAAUGACCAGCAACAAAAUUCUUAUGCAGCUACAAGCAGACAUUCUGUAUAUACCAGUAGUGAAGCCCUCAAUGCCCGAAACCACUGCACUGGGUGCGGCUAUGGCGGCAGGGGCUGCAGAAGGAGUCGGCGUAUGGAGUCUCGAACCCGAGGAUUUGUCUGCCGUCACGAUGGAGCGGUUUGAACCUCAGAUUAAUGCGGAGGAAAGUGAAAUUCGUUAUUCUACAUGGAAGAAAGCUGUGAUGAAGUCAAUGGGUUGGGUUACAACUCAAUCUCCAGAAAGUGGUGACCCUAGUAUCUUCUGUAGUCUGCCCUUGGGCUUUUUUAUAGUGAGUAGCAUGGUAAUGUUAAUCGGAGCAAGGUACAUCUCAGGUAUUCCAUAAAACCUACCAACUCAUGGAUUCCCAAGAUGUGAGCUUUUUACAUAAUGAAAGAACCCAGCAAUUCUGUCUCUUAAUGCAAUGACACUAUUCAUAGACUUUGAUUUUAUUUAUAAGCCACUUGCUGCAUGACCCUCCAAGUAGACCUGUGGCUUAAAAUAAAGAAAAUGCAGCAAAAAGAAUGCUAUAGAAAUAUUUGGUGGUUUUUUUUUUUUUUAAACAUCCACAGUUAAGGUUGGGCCAGCUACCUUUGGGGCUGACCCCCUCCAUUGCCAUAACAUCCUGCUCCAUUCCCUCUAAGAUGUAGGAAGAAUUCGGAUCCUUACCAUUGGAAUCUUCCAUCGAACAUACUCAAACACUUUUGGACCAGGAUUUGAGUCUCUGCAUGACAUAUACUUGAUUAAAAGGUUAUUACUAACCUGUUAAAAAUCAGCAGCUCUUUGCUUUUAACAGACACCCUAAAAGUCUUCUUUUCUACAUAGUUGAAGACAGCAACAUCUUCACUGAAUGUUUGAAUAGAAACCUCUACUAAAUUAUUAAAAUAGACAUUUAGUGUUCUCACAGCUUGGAUAUUUUUCUGAAAAGUUAUUUGCCAAAACUGAAAUCCUUCAGAUGUUUUCCAUGGUCCCACUAAUUAUAAUGACUUUCUGUCUGGAUCUUAUAGGAAAAGAUACUUUCUUUUUUCUUCCAUCUUUCCUUUUUAUAUUUUUUACUUUGUAUGUAUAACAUACAUGCCUAUAUAUUUUAUACACUGAGGGUAGCCCAUUUAUAAAUUAAGAGCACAUUAUAUUCAGAAGGUUCUAACAGGGCUGGUCUUAAGUGAACCACUGUGUAUAUAAAUAUGUUGGAAAACAGCUGUAUACAUUUUUGGGCAACGGUUAUGCAUAAUAUUUACCAGGAGAAUUUUUUUCUUAACAAGCCAACAUUUAAAAUUUAUGUUUUAUGUCAAUAAAAGAAAAUAUACUUUAUUGUGACUUCAACUAUAUUUCUUAUCCCUUACAUUUUUAUUUAAUUGUCUUAGCUUAAAAAAAGAAGAAACUGUGGAAUACUACAGUAAAUAUUGUUUUCAAACACAAGCAAUAAUUCAAAUAGUUAUUUUUCUUUUGAAUUAAUUUUAGACAUAUUUUGGAUCCUAUUGAGGGGAUAAGAGGAUGUCAAAAAAGUUAAAUACCUAAGUAGAAAAAAAUAUAGAAAUAAAGCCAAGAAUCUCUUUCAGUUCAAAUGUUAUCAAUUGUUAAUAAGAAAUUGCUAUCUGGGAUGACAGAAUUACCUCUGCUUAGUAUCUCAUUAUAACUGAAAGAAGGUUUAUCAUUACAAAUACCUUCCAAUGAAACCAAGAAUUUCUCAAAAUAUUUAAUGUCACAUAUUAUAAGAAGUUACCUAAUCCUGCUUCUUAACAUCAAUUUUUAAAAAUAUCUUAAAAUUACUUUGUUUUGUAGUAAACAGUGAAGAAAAGAUUGCCUCCUAAUUAUUUUUUUCAAUGAGUGCUGAAUGGGAAAACAUUUAUAUCUUACUAUAAAAGGUUCUGUUUUGUUUGGAAUCAAUGGUAGCUUUAUUGACUGUUCUGAUUGUGCUGUUUCUAAUUUAUUGAAUCUGCUAGGUUUUAUUGAUGCAGCCACCACUUAAGUGACAUAAAUAUUAUAGAAAGGUACUGUGAAAUGAUCACUUUGUGGCAGGGGUACUUUUAAACAUAAAUGUUUCUACAAAAGUAGGUUGAGUUCAUUGUAAAUAAUUGUGAAAGCCACUGUUCAAAUAAUUUUAAGAUUACAUUAAUUUUUCUAUAAAUUGGAAGAUUUAUAAAUGUUUGAAAUUGUACACAUUGAUAUUUAAUGACAAAUUUACUUAAAAUAAAUUGACCCCUUGUUCUUACUUGCAUUUCUCAUUUACAGACUAGAACUUAGUUGAAAGUUAAAUUAAGAAAGAUGUUUCAGAGGCCGGGCACGGUGGCUGACGCCUGUAAUCCCAGCACUUUGGGAGGCCGAGGUGGGCAGAUCACCUGAGGUCAGGAGUUCGGGACUAGCCUAACCGACAUGGAGAAACCCUAUCUCUACUAAAAAAAAAAAAAGAUGUUUCAGGACAUGUGAAACUUGGCUGUUAGCGCUUGAUAGGGCACACUCUGAAGAGUUAACCAACAGCCAAAGAAGUAAUUUCUGUAAUGAUGAACACUUUAAUCAUUCUAUUAGAAGAAACUACACUGUCCCAUCUCAGCAUUUGCAAAAAAUAAUGUUGGUAAGGUCAGCAGCCAUUAUCAACAGGGCCUUGCAUGGCUAACUUUGACCACCAUUUUUCUCUCAACCUGAUAGGCAACACCUCAAUCCUUUGUUCUCCAACUAAUCAGUAAAAUAAGUAAUGCAUCUCUGCUUCUGUAAUGAUAUCUUAGAAUUUUUAGUAUGUUUCUUUUGAAGUGCCCAAAGCCCAAUUCUUUGGGAUAUCUUUUGGGUAUCUGGUAUCAUGUGGGAGUGAAGAAAGAAAGUUUUUGGAGAAACCAACAAAUGAAAGCUGUGAUAGCACAGAAGCUAAUGGCAUUGACAGUGGAGUAGGUAGUAUUUAAUCUGUAGUGUUUACAACAUAGUAGAUAGAAGUACAAAAAUUUUUUUAACUAUAACUCUUUAAUAGCUUGUUUUAUCUAGUAAUAUUUAAAUAAUGAAGUUUCCUUGAUCCUUUGCUUUUGCAACCUAACAACUUUAAUAAUAAGUUCACACAAUAAACAAAUUAGUAGAAAA